RNAcentral lists this non-coding RNA (184 nucleotides) under Idiomarinaceae bacterium HL-53. RNAcentral's name for it is "6S". It matches the Rfam family "6S / SsrS RNA". Rfam says of the family: E. coli 6S RNA was the first non coding RNA to be sequenced, but its function was unknown until recently. It consists of 184 nucleotides that fold into an extended hairpin structure with a large single-stranded internal bulge. Lineage: Bacteria; Pseudomonadati; Pseudomonadota; Gammaproteobacteria; Alteromonadales; Idiomarinaceae. The record is from RNAcentral.
UGCUUCCUGGGGUGUUUGCCAGCAUGUGAAUGUCCCUGAGCCGAUGCUUUUAAAUUAGGGUCCUACUUACGUUCCAGUGCGCAUGCCCGGGUUUCGCCGGGAAGCCUGAGGGAUGUAAAUUAGCACCCGCCUUGAACCAAUGGGUUCAAGGGCUAACACACGGCAGCGGCACCUUGGGAAGUCU